GGUGGAGCGCUUAGAAGUGAGAAUGCCGGUAUGAGUAGCGAAAACAGAGGUGAGAAUCCUCUGCGCCGAAAGCCUAAGGGUUCCUGAGGAAGGUUCGUCCGCUCAGGGUUAGUCGGGACCUAAGCCGAGGCCGAAAGGCGUAGGUGAUGGACAACAGGUUGAGAUUCCUGUACCACCUUCUUCCCGUUUGAGCGAUGGGGGGACGCAGGAGGAUAGGGCGAGCAGGCGGCUGGAAGAGCCUGUCCAAGCCGUGAGGCUGAUCCGCAGGCAAAUCCGCGGAUCAUAAGGCCAAGCGGUGACGGCGACGGAUUGAUCCGGAAGUCCCCGAUUUCACACUGCCAAGAAAAGCCUCUAGCGAGGGAAGAGGUGCCCGUACCGCAAACCGACACAGGUAGGCGAGGAGAGAAUCCUAAGGCGCGCGGGAGAACUCUCGUUAAGGAACUCGGCAAAAUGACCCCGUAACUUCGGGAGAAGGGGUGCUCUUUGGGGUGAAGAGCCCUGAAGAGCCGCAGUGAAAAGGCCCAAGCGACUGUUUAUCAAAAACACAGGUCUCUGCGAAGCCGAAAGGCGACGUAUAGGGGCUGACACCUGCCCGGUGCUGGAAGGUUAAGGGGAGCGCUUAGCGGAAGCGAAGGUGCGAACCGAAGCCCCAGUAAACGGCGGCCGUAACUAUAACGGUCCUAAGGUAGCGAAAUUCCUUGUCGGGUAAGUUCCGACCCGCACGAAAGGUGUAACGACUUGGGCGCUGUCUCAACGAGAGACCCGGUGAAAUUAUACUACCUGUGAAGAUGCAGGUUACCCGCGACAGGACGGAAAGACCCCGUGGAGCUUUACUGCAGCCUGAUAUGGAAUUUUGGUAUCGCUUGUACAGGAUAGGUGGGAGCCUGGGAAGCCGGAGCGCCAGCUUCGGUGGAGGCGACGGUGGGAUACCACCCUGGCGGUAUUGAAAUUCUAACCCGCACCCCUUAGCGGGGUGGGAGACAGUGUCAGGUGGGCAGUUUGACUGGGGCGGUCGCCUCCCAAAAGGUAACGGAGGCGCCCAAAGGUUCCCUCAGAAUGGUUGGAAAUCAUUCGGAGAGUGCAAAGGCACAAGGGAGCUUGACUGCGAGACGGACAGGUCGAGCAGGGACGAAAGUCGGGCUUAGUGAUCCGGUGGUUCCGCAUGGAAGGGCCAUCGCUCAACGGAUAAAAGCUACCCCGGGGAUAACAGGCUGAUCUCCCCCAAGAGUCCACAUCGACGGGGAGGUUUGGCACCUCGAUGUCGGCUCAUCGCAUCCUGGGGCUGUAGUCGGUCCCAAGGGUUGGGCUGUUCGCCCAUUAAAGCGGUACGCGAGCUGGGUUCAGAACGUCGUGAGACAGUUCGGUCCCUAUCCGUCGCGGGCGGAGGAAAUUUGAGAGGAGCUGUCCUUAGUACGAGAGGACCGGGAUGGACGCACCGCUGGUGUACCAGUUGUCCCGCCAGGGGCACCGCUGGGUAGCUAUGUGCGGACGGGAUAAGCGCUGAAAGCAUCUAAGCGUGAAGCCCCCCUCAAGAUGAGAUUUC
Molecule: ribosomal RNA, 1543 nt
Filed under: Geobacillus sp. FW23
Lineage: Bacteria; Bacillati; Bacillota; Bacilli; Caryophanales; Anoxybacillaceae
Description: bacterial LSU rRNA
Rfam family: Bacterial large subunit ribosomal RNA
Source: RNAcentral